This 264-nucleotide ribosomal RNA is filed under the name uncultured bacterium. Its description in RNAcentral is "partial 16S ribosomal RNA". It matches the Rfam family "Bacterial small subunit ribosomal RNA", at positions 793 to 1055 of the family's 1533-position model. The record is from RNAcentral.
GUCCACGCUGUAAACGAUGGAUGCUAGGUGUUGGGGUAUUGACCCCUCAAGUGCCGCAGUUAACGCAUUAAGCAUCCCGCCUGGGGAGUACGGCCGCAAGGCUAAAACUCAAAGGAAUUGACGGGGGCCCGCACAAGCGGUGGAGCAUGUGGUUUAAUUCGACGCAACGCGAAGAACCUUACCUGGGUUAAAUCCGCCGGAAUUCCGCAGAGAUGUGGAAGUGCCCUUCGGGGAACCGGUGAGAAGGUGCUGCAUGGCUGUCGU